RNAcentral lists this transfer RNA (88 nucleotides) under Coxiellaceae bacterium. Its description in RNAcentral is "tRNA-Leu". It matches the Rfam family "tRNA". From Rfam's summary of the family: Transfer RNA (tRNA) molecules are approximately 80 nucleotides in length. Their secondary structure includes four short double-helical elements and three loops (D, anti-codon, and T loops). The record is from RNAcentral. Lineage: Bacteria; Pseudomonadati; Pseudomonadota; Gammaproteobacteria; Legionellales; Coxiellaceae.
GCCCGGGUGGCGGAAUAGGUAGACGCAAGGGACUUAAAAUCCCUCGGAUGAAUAGUCCGUGCCGGUUCGAGUCCGGCCCCGGGCACCA